GCCAGGUGGUUCAGCGGACAGAGGAUUGGAUUUGAAGUCAGGAAGAUUCAUGUUACAGAGUUUAAAUCUGUCCUCAGAUACUUAUUAGUGGGUCCCUAGGCUAAGGAGAAUAUCCUAAUGGACAAAGAAAAUGAAGAUGAUGAAAAAGAAAGGAAAUAAUUGAUGAAACAAGGAUUUAGAAAAAGAAGGAUUUCAACUAAGGACACAGGCAGAGUGAUUUGCCUUAACAAGAAGGAGGAACCCUUCUUCCUUAAUGGGAAGGAGAACACCAUGUGCAACCCUACUUCUCCCAGAUGGAGCUAAACCCUGUUUUAGUGAAUGGCCAGCUCCUCAUUGGAACGAACUACCUUUUCUCCCUCAUAGAAACAUGAUUAAUGGAGAACAUCUGUAAAGCUUUGGGAACCAUUUCCCCCAAGCAGGACAAUUUAAGCUUACAAUAGUUAUUAGAUGUUUUCUCAUGGACUUUUUGGCACAGGAGAAAUAUGAGUUAUGGAUAUGUUUUUAAAACCAGUCUAUCAACACUCUACUCUUAUUUCUUUUGAGUAGGCUGGGACCCAGAGGGGCUAGA
Antechinus flavipes (yellow-footed antechinus) is the source of this 568-nucleotide long non-coding RNA. RefSeq lists it as uncharacterized. The record is from RefSeq and is a predicted model, not a curated record. The transcript has 3 exons. NCBI's taxonomy places the organism in Eukaryota, Metazoa, Chordata, Mammalia, Dasyuromorphia, Dasyuridae.